RNAcentral lists this ribosomal RNA (252 nucleotides) under uncultured bacterium. RNAcentral describes it as "partial 16S ribosomal RNA". It matches the Rfam family "Bacterial small subunit ribosomal RNA", at positions 524 to 776 of the family's 1533-position model. The record is from RNAcentral.
UACGUAGGGGGCUAGCGUUGUCCGGAAUCAUUGGGCGUAAAGCGCGUGUAGGCGGUCCGGUAAGUCUGCUGUGAAAAUCGGGGGCUCAACCCUCGAAUGCCGGUGGAUACUGUCGGGCUAGAGUGCGGAAGAGGCGAGUGGAAUCCUGGUGUAGCGGUGAAAUGCGCAGAUAUCAGGAGGAACACCUAUUGCGAAGGCAGCUCGCUGGGACGUAACUGACGCUGAGACGCGAAAGCGUGGGGAGCAAACAGG